UGGGGGAUAUUGCACAAUGGGCGAAAGCCUGAUGCAGCGACGCCGCGUGGGGGAUGAAGGCCUUCGGGUUGUAAACUUCUUUUGCUCUGAACAAGGCAUGCCUUUGGGGUGUGUUGAGUGUAGGGGUUGAUUAGCGCCGGCUAACUACGUGCCAGCAGCCGCGGUAAUACGUAGGGCGCGAGCGUUGUCCGGAAUUAUUGGGCGUAAAGGGCUUGUAGGUGGCUGGUUGCGUCUGUCGUGAAAGCUCAUGGCUUAACUGUGGGUUUGCGGUGGGUACGGGCUGGCUUGAGUGCAGGAGGGGAGGCUGGAAUUCCUGGUGUAGCGGUGGAAUGCGCAGAUAUCAGGAGGAAUACCGGUGGCGAAGGCGGUUCUCUGGGCUGUUACUGACGCUGAGGAGCGAAAGCGUGGGGAGCGAACAGG
Molecule: ribosomal RNA, 420 nt
Filed under: Fusobacteriota bacterium
Lineage: Bacteria; Fusobacteriati; Fusobacteriota
Description: Fusobacteria bacterium partial 16S ribosomal RNA
Rfam family: Bacterial small subunit ribosomal RNA
Source: RNAcentral